Molecule: ribosomal RNA, 1478 nt
Filed under: Methanobacteriota archaeon
Lineage: Archaea; Methanobacteriati; Methanobacteriota
Description: bacterial SSU rRNA
Rfam family: Archaeal small subunit ribosomal RNA
Source: RNAcentral
CAUCUCUGUUAAUUCCGGUUGAUCCUGCCGGACCAGACUGCUGUUGGAGUUCGACUAAGCCAUGCAAGUCUUCCGGAAGGAGGCGAAAGGCUGAGUAACACGUAGGUAACCUACCUUAUGGAGGGGCAUACCCUCGGGAAACUGAGGAUAAUUCCCCAUAGGAUUUGGUGACUGGAAUGUCCCAAAACCCAAAGCUUCGGCGCCAUAAGAUGGGCCUGCGGCCUAUCAGGUUGUUGGCGGGGUAAUGGCCCACCAAGCCUUUGACGGGUAGGGGCAGUGAGAGCUGAAGCCCCCAGACGGGCACUGAGAUACUGGCCCGAGCCUUACGGGGUGCAGCAGGCGCGAAACCUUUACAAUGCACGCAAGUGUGAUAAGGGAACUCCAAGUGCCAUUGCUUUUUGCAAUGGCUUUUUUUGAGUGUAAACAGCUCUAGGAAUAAGAGCUGGGUAAGACAGGUGCCAGCAGCCGCGGUAAUACCUGCAGCUCAAGUGGUCUGGAUUUUUAUUGGGUCUAAAGCGUUUGUAGCCGGACUCGCAAGUCUUCUGUGAAAUCUGACGGCUUAACCGUCAGGCGUGCAGGGGAAACUACAAGUCUAGGGACCGGGAAGGGCCAAAGAUACUCUAGGGGUAGGGGUGAAAUCCAAUAAUCCUUAGGGGAUCGCCAGUGGCGAAGGCGUUUGGCUAGAACGGGUCCGACGGUGAGGGACGAAAGCUAGGGGAGCGAACGGGAUUAGAUACCCCGGUAGUCCUAGCCGUAAAUGAUGUGGACUAGGUGUUGCAUUCCCCUUGUGGGAAUGCAGUGCCGAAGGGAAGCCGUUAAGUUCACCACCUGGGAAGUACGGUCGCAAGGCCGAAACUUAAAGGAAUUGACGGGGGAGCACAACAAGGGGUGGAGUCUGCGGUUUAAUUGGAUUAAACGCCGGAAAUCUCACCGGGAGCGACAACAGUAUGAAGGUCAGGCUGACGGUCUUACUCGACUCGUUGAGAGGUGGUGCAUGGCCGCCGUCAGUUCGUGCCGUAAGGUGUUCUGUUAAGUCAGAUAACGAACGAGACCCAUGCCAUUAGUUGCUAUCUGUUCCUUAGGGGGCAGAGCACUCUAAUGGGACCGCUGCUGCUAAAGCAGAGGAAGGUGUGGGCAACGGUAGGUCAGUAUGCCCCGAAUCUCCCGGGCUACACGCGGACUACAAUGGUUGAAACAAUGGGCUGCUACGCCGAGAGGCGACGCUAAUCUCUAAAUUCAAUCCAAGUUCGGAUCGAGGGCUGUAACCCGCCCUCGUGAAGCCGGAAUCCCCAGUAAUCGGACGUCACUAUCGUCCGGUGAAUAUGUCCCUGCUCCUUGUACACACCGCCCGUCAAAUCACCCGAGUUAGGUCUGGAUGAGGCCUCAGUUUUUGCUGAGGUCGAAUAUGGGCUUAGCAAGGGGGGUUAAGUCGUAACAAGGUAUCCGUAGGGGAACCUGCGGAUAGAUCACCUCCUAAG